Long non-coding RNA from Gallus gallus (chicken), 1014 nucleotides. RefSeq lists it as uncharacterized. The transcript is spliced from 3 exons. NCBI's taxonomy places the organism in Eukaryota, Metazoa, Chordata, Aves, Galliformes, Phasianidae. The record is from RefSeq and is a predicted model, not a curated record.
AUGGGCUUUUUUCACUUGCAGUGGGAUGAGUUCUGUUGAUUCCUGUAACAACGAAUGCGUUUUGUCACCGAAUGCUCAGCACUGCUCCGCAGACGCAGCCCGCUUCCCUUGCAGUCCCAUUCCAACCACCUCGAGGCACACCUGUUCCAAAAGCUGCACCACUCCUUCAUUGGUCUGAACUGCUUUCCUCCUGUGACGUGGGACCUGUGCUAUAGAACCUGUCCCCUCAGGGACCAACAGUGCAGAGCUGCCUCCUGCGGGGAGGGGGAGGACGUGCUGUGUGUGCUCCUGCCCUGGGUUGUAUCCAGGCAGAUCCCUGCUGAUGCUCUCCUUGGGCAGCCUCUACCUGCAUCCUCAGCUCACCUGCAAGGAGCAUUGCAGCAGGGGAAGCACUGUGGGGCUGAGUCCCAGCCCACCUGCAUGGGAUGGGCACCUACAGUGACUUGGGGAUAUCUGUGGCCAGGGCUUGAGCUGACUCCUCACCAGGCCCAGGAGGUCGGUACCUGCUUUGGCUGGGCUGCUGAACGAGGAGCUGCACACAUGGCAGUUCCAAUUUCAUGCCUAACGUUAGUGCUGGGACAGAAGCAGCGGGGUGAUUACCUCAGCAGUCCCGUUUAAGCUGCACUGACUCCUCACAAAGCGGAGAAAACUCCACAAGCCGUCCUCCACUGCCCAUCCCUCUUUAUAACGCUGUGCUUUAAUUCGUGACGUGCCAGCAAAAAUGCCUGCUGAAAUCUUUGUUACAGUAAUUGAGCACUCUGCAGUUUUGUUAUUCUCGACUACUGGCAUCCAUUUUCCACGGUGUCACGCAAUGGUAUGUGGGCAUUUUAGUCCCACCCCCGGUUUACGUCUGAGGGCGAUUCAAUUCAGAGCUGCGCUCCGCACUUCUGCAAGGAAGUGAAUGGGGUUCAGCAGCUCCAUCGGCCAGCAAAGUGCUGAACAAAUGGAGAGCACCGGCUGCCAACGAACACAAUGCAAAUGUGUACAUUAAAAUGCAAUGAAAGCGGAUUAAUU